Molecule: long non-coding RNA, 384 nt
Filed under: Nicotiana benthamiana
Lineage: Eukaryota; Viridiplantae; Streptophyta; Magnoliopsida; Solanales; Solanaceae
Description: long non-coding RNA (NBEN_LNC024278)
Source: RNAcentral
GGUUUUUUGGUGAUUUCACUGUAAGUAUUUGUCUGGGGUUUUGGUAAUUGGUAAAUAAAAUCUGUUCUUUUAGGUAUGGGUUGCUCUGGUCUAAGUCGGAUAUUGGAAGGUUUGAGUUUUUUGGCUUGGUGAGUAGUUACUUCUAUCCCUUUUCCUUUAUCUUUUUGGUCAUAUUUUUCUUGGCUAAUUGUUAUCUCUUUAAAUUCUUGCAGGUCUAUUUCUUGCUCUUUUUUGCCAUCUUCCAUAUGGCUAAUUCUGCUUUCCAGUUUUUCAAUAUUUUUCUCCAUUCCUUGUAAUUUUUAUAAUAUGUCUUGUAAUAGAUUUUGUACUAUUUCCCCUUGUUCAGGUUGUACCUGUCAAUCAUAAUAAAAUUCUUCUUUAUAA